GGGUAGGUAUACUAUUCAAUAAGUAGUCAUACUGUAAAUAUGAAAAUGAGAAAUUCUCCUUACCCU
RNAcentral lists this transfer RNA (66 nucleotides) under Goniodes ortygis. RNAcentral's name for it is "tRNA-Tyr". The record is from RNAcentral. Lineage: Eukaryota; Metazoa; Arthropoda; Insecta; Psocodea; Philopteridae.